Molecule: ribosomal RNA, 253 nt
Filed under: uncultured Dysgonomonas sp.
Lineage: Bacteria; Pseudomonadati; Bacteroidota; Bacteroidia; Bacteroidales; Dysgonomonadaceae
Description: partial 16S ribosomal RNA
Rfam family: Bacterial small subunit ribosomal RNA
Source: RNAcentral
UACGGAGGAUGCGAGCGUUAUCCGGAUUUAUUGGGUUUAAAGGGUGCGCAGGCGGCCUUUUAAGUCAGUGGUGAAAUCCCGAAGCUUAACUUCGGACUUGCCAUUGAAACUGGGAGGCUUGAGUGUAGAUGAAGUAGGCGGAAUUCGUUGUGUAGCGGUGACAUGCUUAGAUAUAACGAGGAACUCCAAUUGCGUAGGCAGCUUACUAAACUAUAACUGACGCUCAUGCACGAAAGCGUGGGGAUCAAACAGG